RNAcentral lists this ribosomal RNA (254 nucleotides) under uncultured bacterium. RNAcentral describes it as "partial 16S ribosomal RNA". It matches the Rfam family "Bacterial small subunit ribosomal RNA", at positions 524 to 776 of the family's 1533-position model. The record is from RNAcentral.
UACGAAGGGGGCUAGCGUUGUUCGGAAUCACUGGGCGUAAAGCGCACGUAGGCGGAUCGUUAAGUCGGGGGUGAAAUCCCGAGGCUCAACCUCGGAACUGCCUUCGAUACUGGCGAUCUUUGAGUCCGGGAGAGGUGAGUGGAACUCCGAGUGUAGAGGUGAAAUUCGUAGAUAUUCGGAAGAACACCAGUGGCGAAGGCGGCUCACUGGCCCGGUACUGACGCUGAGGUGCGAAAGCGUGGGGAGCAAACGGG